Molecule: ribosomal RNA, 436 nt
Filed under: uncultured Propionibacterium sp.
Lineage: Bacteria; Bacillati; Actinomycetota; Actinomycetes; Propionibacteriales; Propionibacteriaceae
Description: bacterial SSU rRNA
Rfam family: Bacterial small subunit ribosomal RNA
Source: RNAcentral
CGCGAAGAACCUUACCUGGGUUUGACAUGGAUCGGGAGUGCUCAGAGAUGGGUGUGCCUCUUUUGGGGUCGGUUCACAGGUGGUGCAUGGCUGUCGUCAGCUCGUGUCGUGAGAUGUUGGGUUAAGUCCCGCAACGAGCGCAACCCUUGUUCACUGUUGCCAGCACGUUAUGGUGGGGACUCAGUGGAGACCGCCGGGGUCAACUCGGAGGAAGGUGGGGAUGACGUCAAGUCAUCAUGCCCCUUAUGUCCAGGGCUUCACGCAUGCUACAAUGGCUGGUACAGAGAGUGGCGAGCCUGUGAGGGUGAGCGAAUCUCGGAAAGCCGGUCUCAGUUCGGAUUGGGGUCUGCAACUCGACCUCAUGAAGUCGGAGUCGCUAGUAAUCGCAGAUCAGCAACGCUGCGGUGAAUACGUUCCCGGGUCUUGUACACACCGA